ACUCCUAAUUAAAUACAAUUAUUCUCUCUUUAAUGUGUCCGUUACAGUCUUCGAAUUUAAUGUUUGAACGUUUGAAUUUGAAUUAACCCCGAACUUCAUGGGCUUCGCCCUUUAGCCCAAAAAGUCCCGAACCGAACUAAUCUUGACUUCGACUUCGCCCUUAUCUCGGGGUGCAAUCACUUCGACCAUGUUCUUAGGCUUAUGAGUCUAACUGGCCUUAUCCUUUGUGGGCUUCUAUCCUGCCUAUGUGGCAAUUUUUGGUUGGUCCCGAACUACCCGUGCGG
RNAcentral lists this long non-coding RNA (284 nucleotides) under Arabidopsis lyrata. RNAcentral's name for it is "long non-coding RNA (ALYR_LNC002753)". Lineage: Eukaryota; Viridiplantae; Streptophyta; Magnoliopsida; Brassicales; Brassicaceae. The record is from RNAcentral.